GACGAACGCUGGCGGCGUGCCUAAUACAUGCAAGUUGAGCGAUGAAGAUUGGUGCUUGCACCAAUUUGAAGAGCAGCGAACGGGUGAGUAACGCGUGGGGAAUCUGCCUUUGAGCGGGGGACAACAUUUGGAAACGAAUGCUAAUACCGCAUAAUAACUUUAAACAUAAGUUUUAAGUUUGAAAGAUGCAAUUGCAUCACUCAAAGAUGAUCCCGCGUUGUAUUAGCUAGUUGGUGAGGUAAAGGCUCACCAAGGCGAUGAUACAUAGCCGACCUGAGAGGGUGAUCGGCCACAUUGGGACUGAGACACGGCCCAAACUCCUACGGGAGGUAGCAGUAGGGAAUCUUCGGCAAUGGACGAAAGUCUGACCGAGCAACGCCGCGUGAGUGAAGAAGGUUUUCGGAUCGUAAAACUCUGUUGGUAGAGAAGAACGUUGGUGAGAGUGGAAAGCUCAUCAAGUGACGGUAACUACCCAGAAAGGGACGGCUAACUACGUG
This 497-nucleotide ribosomal RNA is filed under the name uncultured bacterium. Its description in RNAcentral is "partial 16S ribosomal RNA". It matches the Rfam family "Bacterial small subunit ribosomal RNA", at positions 28 to 507 of the family's 1533-position model. The record is from RNAcentral.